RNAcentral lists this transfer RNA (72 nucleotides) under Ictidomys tridecemlineatus (thirteen-lined ground squirrel). RNAcentral's name for it is "Spermophilus tridecemlineatus (thirteen-lined ground squirrel) tRNA". It matches the Rfam family "tRNA". Rfam says of the family: Transfer RNA (tRNA) molecules are approximately 80 nucleotides in length. Their secondary structure includes four short double-helical elements and three loops (D, anti-codon, and T loops). Lineage: Eukaryota; Metazoa; Chordata; Mammalia; Rodentia; Sciuridae. The record is from Rfam by way of RNAcentral.
GGGGAUGUAGCUCAGUAGUAGAGCAUCUGUCUAGCUGUAAAGAAGCCCUGGGUUCAAUUCCCAGCAUCACAC